This 468-nucleotide long non-coding RNA is filed under the name Taeniopygia guttata (zebra finch). RNAcentral's name for it is "lncRNA (ENSTGUG00000024383.1)". The record is from RNAcentral. Lineage: Eukaryota; Metazoa; Chordata; Aves; Passeriformes; Estrildidae.
GUAGUAACACAGCAAGUAUUUUCUAAAUUCAGACUUAAUGGUGUGAUGAUUAGAGCCAAAAUAAAAGCUGAAUUAAUUUUUUAAUUUUUAUCUCUUGACCAUAAUUUUCUUACCCCUGCCCUACACAAUUUCAGAUGUUUCUUUGACUGGUGCAUCAUCUAGUUUGACAGAAAAAGGAGUUUGCUCCCCUGCCCUUUAGGAAGACUCCUGCUUCAGUCAAUGGAACUCUUGAUUUCCAGCACUGGGAUCAAGACCCUGUCCUUGGGAAAGACUGAAUGCUGGCAUAACCUUUUCCAGGUAACCAAGGUUUUGGGCAGACAACUUCCCACCCACAGACCCCAUCAGCUGUUACUGUUUAGAAUUAACAAAGAAUUAUUACAUAACCUGAAAAAAAAAAAAAAAAGUAAGAUAAAGACUGAUAUCAACCUUCUAUAGAUCUCCCUUUAAUGAAGCUUUUUCUGUCUCUAU